This 399-nucleotide long non-coding RNA is filed under the name Ricinus communis (castor bean). Its description in RNAcentral is "long non-coding RNA (RCOM_LNC000455)". Lineage: Eukaryota; Viridiplantae; Streptophyta; Magnoliopsida; Malpighiales; Euphorbiaceae. The record is from RNAcentral.
UUUUUCCAUCUUUUUACUUUAAAAAAAAAUUAAAAUUACAAAAAAAAACCAUCCCCCUUCUCCUUUCUCUCCCUGACGCCACCUCCCUCUCUCCCUGCACCUUCCUUUUUCCGGUCGCUCCCCUUGCCGCCCUUCCAUUCCUCGCCUGCCGUGAGCUUCCCUCGACAUUGCUAGCCUGUUGCCACCAUCCGCACCGCCUCAUGCCGAAGAGGAAGAGUUGUUCGCAAGGAGGAAGCUUCCUCCCCUACUGCCGCCGUCGAAAUAGCCACCUGCUGCCGUCCUUCGCCAAUCUAAUGCCGGAAUGGAGUCCCUCGCCCUCCAAAAGCUAGGAAUAACUCCUCAUACCCAUUCCUCCUCCGGCAGCCUUGGGAGAGCCUCACCAGACAUCUUCCUUCUCAC